Molecule: transfer RNA, 72 nt
Filed under: Camelus bactrianus (Bactrian camel)
Lineage: Eukaryota; Metazoa; Chordata; Mammalia; Artiodactyla; Camelidae
Also listed under: 2 other names
Rfam family: tRNA
About the family: Transfer RNA (tRNA) molecules are approximately 80 nucleotides in length. Their secondary structure includes four short double-helical elements and three loops (D, anti-codon, and T loops).
Source: Rfam by way of RNAcentral
GGGGGUUUGGCUCAGUGGUAGAGCACAUGCUUAGCAUGCACAAGGUCCUGGGUUCAAUCCCCAGUACCUCCA